RNAcentral lists this ribosomal RNA (279 nucleotides) under uncultured bacterium. RNAcentral's name for it is "partial 16S ribosomal RNA". It matches the Rfam family "Bacterial small subunit ribosomal RNA", at positions 506 to 784 of the family's 1533-position model. The record is from RNAcentral.
UGCCAGCCGCCGCGGUAAUACGGAGGGUGCAAGCGUUAUCCGGAAUCAUUGGGUUUAAAGGGUCCGCAGGCGGACGUAUAAGUCAGUGGUGAAAGCCCGCAGCAUAACUGCGGAACUGCCAUUGAUACUGGAGAGCUUGAGUACGGUUGAAGUAGGCGGAAUUUAUGGUGUAGCGGUGAAAUGCAUAGAUACCAUAAAGAACACCGAUAGCGUAGGCAGCUUACUAAGCCGUAACUGACGCUGAGGCACGAAAGCAUGGGGAGCGAACAGGAUUAGAUA